GGCUGGAUAGCUCAGCGGUAGAGCAAACGUUUCAUAAGCGUUAGGUCGGGAGUUCGAAUCUCCCUCCAGCCA
RNAcentral lists this transfer RNA (72 nucleotides) under Candidatus Roizmanbacteria bacterium CG_4_10_14_0_8_um_filter_36_36. RNAcentral describes it as "tRNA-Met". It matches the Rfam family "tRNA". From Rfam's summary of the family: Transfer RNA (tRNA) molecules are approximately 80 nucleotides in length. RNAcentral also lists the same sequence under 5 other names. The record is from RNAcentral. Lineage: Bacteria; Candidatus Roizmaniibacteriota.